CAAGGAUCAUCGGAGGAUCCCUACAUUGAGGAUACAUUUGAUAGAAAUCGAACGAGAGGCACCAUGAACUCAGGGUUGUGUCUGAGGGUGCUGAUACUGGUUGCUCUCACAGUAGACAUCAGAGCAGCUCAACCUGCCCCGGAGACGUUUGUCGUAUCGGAUGAAUGGUGGUCAUUAUUGCCGUCAACAAAGAGUCCGUUUUAUGCUGCAUCGUGUUAGAGGCUUUUAAUAAAAUCACGAGGUUUACAGCAUAAAUGACAGGUGACAUGACAACCUGAAAAAAGCGCCCCAAAUGCCAUGGCCGUUCUGACGUCUUCCUUGCCUAACCCCCCUAUUUAUAAACAAUGAAGCUGACCUCUUCUGG
Long non-coding RNA from Coregonus clupeaformis (lake whitefish), 364 nucleotides. RefSeq lists it as uncharacterized. NCBI's taxonomy places the organism in Eukaryota, Metazoa, Chordata, Actinopteri, Salmoniformes, Salmonidae. The transcript is spliced from 3 exons. The record is from RefSeq and is a predicted model, not a curated record.